This 497-nucleotide ribosomal RNA is filed under the name uncultured bacterium. RNAcentral's name for it is "partial 16S ribosomal RNA". It matches the Rfam family "Bacterial small subunit ribosomal RNA", at positions 28 to 507 of the family's 1533-position model. The record is from RNAcentral.
GAUGAACGCUGGCGGCGUGCCUAAUACAUGCAAGUCGAGCGAACAGAUAAGGAGCUUGCUCCUUUGACGUUAGCGGCGGACGGGUGAGUAACACGUGGGUAACCUACCUAUAAGACUGGAAUAACUCCGGGAAACCGGGGCUAAUGCCGGAUAACAUUUAGAACCGCAUGGUUCUAAAGUGAAAGAUGGUUUUGCUAUCACUUAUAGAUGGACCCGCGCCGUAUUAGCUAGUUGGUAAGGUAACGGCUUACCAAGGCAACGAUACGUAGCCGACCUGAGAGGGUGAUCGGCCACACUGGAACUGAGACACGGUCCAGACUCCUACGGGAGGCAGCAGUAGGGAAUCUUCCGCAAUGGGCGAAAGCCUGACGGAGCAACGCCGCGUGAGUGAUGAAGGUCUUCGGAUCGUAAAACUCUGUUAUUAGGGAAGAACAAAUGUGUAAGUAACUGUGCACGUCCUGACGGUACCUAAUCAGAAAGCCACGGCUAACUACGUG